RNAcentral lists this ribosomal RNA (480 nucleotides) under uncultured bacterium. Its description in RNAcentral is "bacterial SSU rRNA". It matches the Rfam family "Bacterial small subunit ribosomal RNA", at positions 355 to 850 of the family's 1533-position model. The record is from RNAcentral.
UGGGGAAUCUUGGACAAUGGGGGCAACCCUGAUCCAGCCAUGCCGCGUGAGUGAUGAAGGCCUUAGGGUCGUAAAGCUCUUUCGCCUGUGAAGAUAAUGACGGUAGCCGGAGAAGAAGCCCCGGCUAACUCCGUGCCAGCAGCCGCGGUAAUACGGAGGGGGUUAGCGUUGUUCGGAAUUACUGGGCGUAAAGCGCACGUAGGCGGACCAGAAAGUUGGGGGUGAAAUCCCGGGGGCUCAACCCCGGAACUGCCUCCAAAACUAUUGGUCUAGAGUUCGAGAGAGGUGAGUGGAAUUCCAAGUGUAGAGGUGAAAUUCGUAGAUAUUUGGAGGAACACCAGUGGCGAAGGCGGCUCACUGGCUCGAUACUGACGCUGAGGUGCGAAAGUGUGGGGAGCAAACAGGAUUAGAUACCCUGGGUAGUCCACACCGUAAAACGAUGAAUGCCAGUCGUCGGGUAGCAUGCUAUUCGGUGACACA